Molecule: ribosomal RNA, 538 nt
Filed under: uncultured Acaulospora
Lineage: Eukaryota; Fungi; Glomeromycota; Glomeromycetes; Diversisporales; Acaulosporaceae
Description: SSU rRNA
Rfam family: Eukaryotic small subunit ribosomal RNA
Source: RNAcentral
UUGGUGCCAGCAGCCGCGGUAAUUCCAGCUCCAAUAGCGUAUAUUAAAGUUGUUGCAGUUAAAAAGCUCGUAGUUGAAUUUCGGAAUCUGUCCGUCGGUCGGGCUUCACUGUCCGUACUGGUGUGAUGGGUUUCUACCUUCUGAAUAAUCGGCAUGUCAUUAAUUUGGUGCGCCGGGGAAGCAGAACUAUUACCUUGAAAAAAUUAGAGUGCUUAAAGCAGGCUAUCGCCUGAAUAGAUUAGCAUGGAAUAAUAAAAUAGGACGGCAUGGUUCUAUUUUGUUGGUUUCUAGGAUCACCGUAAUGAUUAAUAGGGAUAGUUGGGGGCAUUAGUAUUCAAUUGUCAGAGGUGAAAUUCUUGGAUUUAUUGAAGACUAACUUCUGCGAAAGCAUUUGCCAAGGAUGUUUUCAUUAAUCAAGAACGAAAGUUAGGGGAUCGAAGACGAUCAGAUACCGUCGUAGUCUUAACCAUAAACUAUGCCGACUAGGGAUCGGACGAUGUUAAUUUUUUAAUGACUCGUUCGGCGCCUUACGGGAAAC